This 776-nucleotide ribosomal RNA is filed under the name uncultured Neocallimastigales. Its description in RNAcentral is "partial large subunit ribosomal RNA". It matches the Rfam family "Eukaryotic large subunit ribosomal RNA", at positions 22 to 649 of the family's 3401-position model. Lineage: Eukaryota; Fungi; Neocallimastigomycota; Neocallimastigomycetes; Neocallimastigales. The record is from RNAcentral.
GUACACGCUGUGACUAGCAUAUCAAUAAGCGGAGGAAAAGAAACUAACAAGGAUUCCCUUAGUAACGGCGAGUGAAGCGGGAAGAGCUCAAAUUUGAAAUCUUCAAGGUUUUACCUUGACGAAUUGUAGUUUAAAGAAGUGUUUUCUGCUGAAGUUUUGGUAUAAGUUCUUUGGAAUAGGACAUCAUAGAGGGUGAGAAUCCCGUAUUUGACCAUUAUUUUCAGCUUUGUGAUACACUCUCAAAGAGUCGGAUUGUUUGGGAAUGCAGUCCGAAAUGGGUGGUAAAUUUCAUCUAAAGCUAAAUAUUGGCGAGAGACCGAUAGCGAACAAGUACCGUGAGGGAAAGAUGAAAAGAACUUUGAAAAGAGAGUUAAACAGUACGUGAAAUUGUCAAAAGGGAAGCGUUUGACACCAGUGUUGUUUUCUCGAAAAUCAAUUAAAAAUGGCUCGAUUUUGUAUUGCUGAGACCUUAAAAGCUCACAUGUACAUUUUUCGUGUCUUUUUUAAUGCACUUUUCGUUUAACAAGUCAACAUCAGUUUCUUUUGUUGUAAAAGGGUCAUUGGAAGGUGGCUUUCUUUUCGGAGAAAGUGUUUAUAGCCUUUGGCCUCUGCAAUCGAAGAGACCUGAGGUCUGCAGCGUAGACUCUUCGGGGUUAGAUACAUUUGUGCUAAGUUAUAGCUUUUUAUAGACAACUUGUUGACUAUAAUUAGUCUUGUAGCUUACUCGCUUAUGCUAUUUUACCUACGCUUAGGAUGUUGAGUAGCGACAUACGCAC